Molecule: ribosomal RNA, 362 nt
Filed under: uncultured bacterium
Lineage: Bacteria
Description: bacterial SSU rRNA
Rfam family: Bacterial small subunit ribosomal RNA
Source: RNAcentral
CUAUGCGCCUUGCCAGCCCGCUCAGUCAGAGUUUGAUCCUGGCUCAGGAUGAACGCUGGCGGCGUGCCUAAUACAUGCAAGUCGAGCGAACAGACGAGGAGCUUGCUCCUUUGACGUUAGCGGCGGACGGGUGAGUAACACGUAGGUAACCUACCUAUAAGACUGGGAUAACUUCGGGAAACCGGAGCUAAUACCGGAUAAUAUUUCGAACCGCAUGGUUCGAUAGUGAAAGGUGGCUUUGCUAUCACUUAUAGAUGGACCUGCGCCGUAUUAGCUAGUUGUAAGUAACGGCUUACCAAGGCAACGAUACGUAGCCGACCUGAGAGGGUGGUCGGCCACACUGGAACUGAGACACGGUCCAG